RNAcentral lists this ribosomal RNA (459 nucleotides) under uncultured bacterium. RNAcentral's name for it is "partial 16S ribosomal RNA". It matches the Rfam family "Bacterial small subunit ribosomal RNA", at positions 338 to 795 of the family's 1533-position model. The record is from RNAcentral.
CCUACGGGUGGCUGCAGUGAGGAAUAUUGGUCAAUGGGCGUAAGCCUGAACCAGCCAAGUCGCGUGAAGGAUGACUGUUCUAUGGGUCGUAAACUUCUUUUAUAUGGGAAUAAAGUGCGGGACGUGUCCCGUUUUGUAUGUACCUUAUGAAUAAGGAUCGGCUAACUCCGUGCCAGCAGCCGCGGUAAUACGGAGGAUCCGAGCGUUAUCCGGAUUUAUUGGGUUUAAAGGGGGCGUAGGGGGUCUUUAAGUCAGCUGUGAAAGUUUGCGGCUCAACCAUAGAAUUGCAGUUGAAACUGGGAGUCUUGAGUAUGUUUGAGGUAGGCGGAAUGCGUGGUGUAGCGGUGAAAUGCUUAGAUAUCACGCAGAACCCCGAUUGCGAAGGCAGCUUGCCAAGCCAUGACUGACGCUGAUGCACGAAAGCGUGGGGAUCAAACAGGAUUAGAUACCCGGGUAGUC